UCGAUAACCUGCUAUUUUGUCUCUUUGGUAGUGAAAAUUUCCACUUCACUAAUUUGUGAACGGACCAGAUCUGAAAAUUCUUUAAUCCUUCGUUCUUGUUCUUACAAGGCGUUUCCUCCAAAAGAAGAAUAUGAACAGAGUCUGACAUAUAUAAGUUUGGACGGUAACAAGCUUGCAAAUGUAAAUAAAGGCGAUUUUAUGGACGACAAAGUUACACACCUAGAUCUUUCCCAAAAUGAAAUUAACUCUAUAAAUACGGAAGAUUUAAAAAUAUAUAAGAAUUUGUCGAUUCUGAACAUUUCCCAUAAUGGAAUUUCUGAAAGCCCUUCAUUAAUUCAU
Molecule: long non-coding RNA, 339 nt
Organism: Zophobas morio
Lineage: Eukaryota; Metazoa; Arthropoda; Insecta; Coleoptera; Tenebrionidae
Exons: 5
Source: RefSeq, a predicted model, not a curated record